RNAcentral lists this long non-coding RNA (599 nucleotides) under Homo sapiens (human). RNAcentral describes it as "HSALNT0325510". The record is from RNAcentral. Lineage: Eukaryota; Metazoa; Chordata; Mammalia; Primates; Hominidae.
UUCCAGCUGGUUUUGAGGAAGUGAGCUGCCAUGUACUAGGCCACGUGGCAAGGGCCUGGUUGGGGACCUCCAGGGGUUGAGAGCAUCCUCUGGACAACAUGGAAAAAGAAAAUGAAAAUGGUGACCUCAGCCCUAUAGCUAGAAGGAAUUGAAUCCUGUCAACAACGAUUGGGUUCUCGGUCUCGCUGACUUCAAGAAUGAAGCCGCAGACCCUCACGCUAUAGUUAAAAUACAUAGGGAAGGGCUUCAAGAUGGCUGACUAAAGGCACCUAGCACUCGCCUCCUCUGGAAAAAAGGACCAAAACACAACAGGCUAUUGGGUUUGGAGUGAAUUCUCAGAAACAUCACUACUGACAUAACUCCAUAAAGAAUUCAUAAUUUCUACUCACAUGUUUUACCCACAUCAAUAACAGAAUCUCAGGAAAACCAAAGUGGAGUUUACAAUGUUCAUUUUGACACUGUGCAUUAGACUUCUCGACUUCAAGCUACAAAAACCAGCACAGAACCUGGAAAAAUUUUACCUCCUGGCAUUUUUGUUUCUCUACCCUGAUGCUUGUUGUUGAGUUUUACCCAUGCUUUGACCAUCAGCAAAUUGAAGA